UUUGAUUCUACUUCAAUCUCCUUCAAUUUUUUUUCUUUAACCAUGUCUGAAUACAUUCACAAGAGAAAUGCCGAUUUAAUUUUUUCAGUCGUCGCACCUCUGAUAAAGAUUCGUGUUUAGAAUAUAGAUUCAUUUGAACGUCUUAAUCAGACGUUGAACCGUUUGUUAGAUGGAGAAAUUACUGAUGGUGAAAGGAUUAGAAAGAUUCAAUGGCUUGUGUCCACGUUCAACCAAAAUGGAGAAGUGCGUGAAUGAGUGGAUAUUAAGACUGACAGAGACGUUCGCAGGAUGAUGCAUAAUA
Molecule: long non-coding RNA, 301 nt
Filed under: Lathyrus oleraceus (garden pea)
Lineage: Eukaryota; Viridiplantae; Streptophyta; Magnoliopsida; Fabales; Fabaceae
Description: Pisum sativum (pea) long non-coding RNA (PSAT_LNC003163)
Source: RNAcentral